UAACGCGAAGAACCUUACCAAGGCUUGACAUACAGGGAAAUCCGGCAGAGAUGUCGGGUCCGCAAGGGCCCUGUACAGGUGGUGCAUGGUUGUCGUCAGCUCGUGUCGUGAGAUGUUGGGUUAAGUCCCGCAACGAGCGCAACCCUCGUCCUAUGUUGCCAGCGAGUAAUGUCGGGGACUCACAGGAGACUGCCGGGGUCAACUCGGAGGAAGGUGGGGACGACGUCAAGUCAUCAUGCCCCUUAUGUCCAGGGCUUCACACAUGCUACAAUGGCCGGUACAAAGGGCUGCGAUGCCGUGAGGUGGAGCGAAUCCUUUCAAAGCCGGUCUCAGUUCGGAUCGGGGUCUGCAACUCGACCCCGUGAAGUCGGAGUCGCUAGUAAUCGCAGAUCAGCAACGCUGCGGUGAAUACGUUCCCGGGUCUUGUACACACCGA
RNAcentral lists this ribosomal RNA (436 nucleotides) under uncultured bacterium. RNAcentral describes it as "bacterial SSU rRNA". It matches the Rfam family "Bacterial small subunit ribosomal RNA", at positions 957 to 1393 of the family's 1533-position model. The record is from RNAcentral.